RNAcentral lists this ribosomal RNA (206 nucleotides) under uncultured bacterium. RNAcentral's name for it is "partial 16S ribosomal RNA". It matches the Rfam family "Bacterial small subunit ribosomal RNA", at positions 523 to 727 of the family's 1533-position model. The record is from RNAcentral.
UAGCGUAGGGUGCAAGCGUUAUCCGGAAUUAUUGGGCGUAAAGAGCUCGUAGGCGGUUUGUCGCGUCUGCUGUGAAACUGGAGGCUCAACCUCCAGCCUGCAGUGGGUACGGGCAAACUAGAGUGCGGUAGGGGAGAUUGGAAUUCCUGGUGUAGCGGUGGAAUGCGCAGAUAUCGAGGAGGAACACCGAGUGGCGAAGGCAGACU